UUCAUGUCUGAUCAUAUCAUGCCCAGUGUUCAAAUGAUCAAGUAACCUUUAUAAGAUCUUUGUCAACAAAAAGCUUGUUCAGUGUCGAAGUUCCAGUUUUGUCACUGCAAAGAACAUCCAUGCCUACCAUUUCUUCUAUUGGUAAUUAGGAUGUGGUGCAAGAUCGAUUUCCUGUCGAGUAACCUCCACUUUCUGCCACUCGUCCCAUCUUUCGGCCAACCCGUCACCUUCCAGCAUUCUGACCACAUCAGACAUUUUGGGUCGGUCCAUUGGUGAGCCUUGGGUGCACAGCAAUGCCACCUGGAUCAGCUGCGCAACUUCUGAAUCGAUGUAAUUCGUCUCUAGAUCAGGGAACCGGUGCUCUAAAUCGACAACUUUGAUGUUGCGAUGACAGAGAUGUUUGGAAUCGGUCUUGCGACGAAAUGAUGCUUCACUUUUACUUUUCAAAGCAUAAUGGAUUUUGAU
This 465-nucleotide long non-coding RNA is filed under the name Helianthus annuus (common sunflower). RNAcentral's name for it is "sRNA HanXRQr2_Chr05g0231411". Lineage: Eukaryota; Viridiplantae; Streptophyta; Magnoliopsida; Asterales; Asteraceae. The record is from RNAcentral.